RNAcentral lists this unclassified non-coding RNA (223 nucleotides) under Fusarium sp. Its description in RNAcentral is "partial internal transcribed spacer region". The stretch from base 1 to 46 matches the Rfam family "Eukaryotic small subunit ribosomal RNA", at positions 1786 to 1831 of the family's 1831-position model. Lineage: Eukaryota; Fungi; Ascomycota; Sordariomycetes; Hypocreales; Nectriaceae. The record is from RNAcentral.
AAGUCGUAACAAGGUCUCCGUUGGUGAACCAGCGGAGGGAUCAUUACCGAGUUUACAACUCCCAAACCCCUGUGAACAUACCAAUUGUUGCCUCGGCGGAUCAGCCCGCUCCCGGUAAAACGGGCCGGCCCGCCAGAGGACCCCUAAACUCUGUUUCUAUAUGUAACUUCUGAGUAAAACCAUAAAUAAAUCAAAACUUUCAACAACGGAUCUCUUGGUUCUG